Molecule: ribosomal RNA, 253 nt
Filed under: uncultured bacterium
Lineage: Bacteria
Description: partial 16S ribosomal RNA
Rfam family: Bacterial small subunit ribosomal RNA
Source: RNAcentral
UACGUAGGGGGCUAGCGUUGUCCGGAAUCAUUGGGCGUAAAGCGCGCGUAGGCGGCCGGAUAAGUCCGGUGUGAAAGUCACAGGCUCAACCUGUGAAUGCCGCUGGAAACUGUCUGGCUUGAGUCCGGAAGGGGCGAGUGGAAUUCCUGGUGUAGCGGUGAAAUGCGCAGAUAUCAGGAGGAACACCAAUGGCGAAGGCAGCUCGCUGGAACGGUACUGACGCUGAGGCGCGAAAGCGUGGGGAGCGAACAGG